GACGAACGCUGGCGGCGUGCUUAACACAUGCAAGUCGAACGGAAAGGCCCUGCUUUUGUGGGGUGCUCGAGUGGCGAACGGGUGAGUAACACGUGAGUAACCUGCCCUUGACUUUGGGAUAUCUUCAGGAAACUGGGGCUAAUACCGGAUAGGAGCUCCUGCUGCAUGGUGGGGGUUGGAAAGUUUCGGCGGUUGGGGAUGGACUCGCGGCUUAUCAGCUUGUUGGUGUGGUAGUGGCUUACCAAGGCUUUGACGGGUAGCCGGCCUGAGAGGGUGACCGGCCACAUUGGGACUGAGGUACGGCCCAGAAUCCUACGGGAGGCAGCAGUGGAGAAUAUUGCACAAUGGGCGGAAGCCUGAUGCAGCGACGCCGCGUGCGGGAUGACGGCCUUCGGGUUGUAAACCGCUUUCGACUGUGACGAAGCGUGCGUGACGGUAAUGGGUAAAGAAGCACCGGCUAACUACGUG
Molecule: ribosomal RNA, 468 nt
Filed under: uncultured bacterium
Lineage: Bacteria
Description: partial 16S ribosomal RNA
Rfam family: Bacterial small subunit ribosomal RNA
Source: RNAcentral